AUUUAAGUAAUUUAAAAAAAAUAUUGAUUUGUGGAGUCAAAUAUAUGAUAAGAUCAUCUUAAAUU
This 65-nucleotide transfer RNA is filed under the name Abaratha angulata. Its description in RNAcentral is "Odontoptilum angulatum tRNA-His". The record is from RNAcentral. Lineage: Eukaryota; Metazoa; Arthropoda; Insecta; Lepidoptera; Hesperiidae.